Molecule: long non-coding RNA, 286 nt
Organism: Paralichthys olivaceus (Japanese flounder)
Lineage: Eukaryota; Metazoa; Chordata; Actinopteri; Pleuronectiformes; Paralichthyidae
Source: RefSeq, a predicted model, not a curated record
UUUGUCUUAGUCAGUUCCUCUGUGUUGUCCCAGUUUUUACUCCUCCAGUUUAUAAUGUUUGAGUCUUUUACCAAGCUUAGUUUCUUGUAUGUGUGUUCAGCUUGAGAGUGUUGGAUACCACAGCUCUCCUGAUUUCCUUCCAUCUCUGCAACCAACCUAUCUAAUGUUGAGCUGCUGACAUGGCACCAGAUUUCUAAUAUUACCACGUUUUAUAUCCAGUUUUCCUGAAAAACACCUCAUCGGUUCCACCUGCAACUUUUCCUUCAGCGUCUCACUCACCAUAAGU